GUUUAGAAGGUCACAACAAACCCAAGGAUAUUCUGCAGUGGAACAAAAUUUCACCGUUGGUAACUCAUCAUUGUCGCCAUGGCUCAAGAGAGCAAUCAAAAACCAGCAGCAUAUAAACCAUCACUACACACACUCACUUACUUACCAACAUCCUCAUCCUCGCCCUCACAUUCGCCCUCGCCCUCGCCCUCGCCCUCACAGUCGCCCUCGCCCUCACCCACACACUCACCCUCAACCUCGCCCUCACCCACACCCACACCCUCACCCUCACCCUCACCCU
RNAcentral lists this unclassified non-coding RNA (280 nucleotides) under Hevea brasiliensis (rubber tree). Lineage: Eukaryota; Viridiplantae; Streptophyta; Magnoliopsida; Malpighiales; Euphorbiaceae. The record is from RNAcentral.